GCCUACGGGGGGCAGCAGUGAGGAAUAUUGGUCAAUGGACGAGAGUCUGAACCAGCCAUGCCGCGUGCAGGAUGACGGCUCUAUGAGUUGUAAACUGCUUUUGUACGAGGGUAAACCCCGAUACGUGUAUCGGGUUGAAAGUAUCGUACGAAUAAGGAUCGGCUAACUCCGUGCCAGCAGCCGCGGUAAUACGGAGGAUCCGAGCGUUAUCCGGAUUCAUUGGGUUUAAAGGGUGCGUAGGUUGUUUUAUAAGUUAGCGGUGAAAUACCGAUGCUCAACAUCGGGGCUGCCGCUAAUACUGUAGG
RNAcentral lists this ribosomal RNA (305 nucleotides) under uncultured bacterium. RNAcentral describes it as "bacterial SSU rRNA". It matches the Rfam family "Bacterial small subunit ribosomal RNA", at positions 337 to 639 of the family's 1533-position model. The record is from RNAcentral.